This 296-nucleotide long non-coding RNA is filed under the name Malus domestica (apple). RNAcentral's name for it is "long non-coding RNA (MDOM_LNC006713)". The record is from RNAcentral. Lineage: Eukaryota; Viridiplantae; Streptophyta; Magnoliopsida; Rosales; Rosaceae.
CUCUCGAGUACUCGUUUCCCACUGCUGCUGUACUUCCAAAGAAGCUGCCACAUCUGCCUGGAGAACAGAUAAGGCAAGUGAAAAUGAUACCUUGCAGCAUGUGGAGACAAGGUGCAGAAGGAACAAGCAGAGAAGAAUGCAGUCUGCACAGUCAACUCAGCAGAAGGAGUCCGAGCUGAAGAACUCGAGAAGCUGCCGUAUCUGCCUGAAGAAACAAGCAGAGAAGAAUGCAGCAUGCACAGUCAACUCGGCAGAAAGAGUCUGAGAUGAAGAACUCGUUUUGACCCUCAAAUUCU